This 388-nucleotide ribosomal RNA is filed under the name uncultured bacterium. Its description in RNAcentral is "bacterial SSU rRNA". It matches the Rfam family "Bacterial small subunit ribosomal RNA", at positions 29 to 396 of the family's 1533-position model. The record is from RNAcentral.
AGCGAACGUUAGCGGCGGGCUUAACACAUGCAAGUCGAACGCGGAAAGGGAUUCGUCCCCAGUAGCGUGGCGUCCGGGUGAGUAACACGUAGGAAACCUUGCCUAGAGUGGGGGAUAACGUCCCGAAAGGGACGCUAAAUACCGCAUAAGCCCACGUCGGCCUCGGCCGAUGCGGGAAAAGAUGGCCUCUGAAAUUCAAGCUAUCGCUCAAGGAUGGUCCUGCGGCGCAUCGAGCUAGUUGGUGGGGUAACGGCCUACCAAGGGCGAAGACGCGUAGCUGGUCCUGAGAGGAUGAUCAGCCACACUGGGCACUGAAACACGGGCCAGACUCCUACGGGAGCAGCAGUGGGGAAUAUUGGACAAUGGGCGCAAGCCUGAUCCAGCCACG